Molecule: ribosomal RNA, 465 nt
Filed under: Vreelandella stevensii
Lineage: Bacteria; Pseudomonadati; Pseudomonadota; Gammaproteobacteria; Oceanospirillales; Halomonadaceae
Description: partial 16S ribosomal RNA
Rfam family: Bacterial small subunit ribosomal RNA
Source: RNAcentral
CCUACGGGGGGCAGCAGUGGGGAAUAUUGGACAAUGGGGGCAACCCUGAUCCAGCCAUGCCGCGUGUGUGAAGAAGGCCCUCGGGUUGUAAAGCACUUUCAGUGAGGAAGAACGCCUGGUGGUUAAUACCCAUCAGGAAAGACAUCACUCACAGAAGAAGCACCGGCUAACUCCGUGCCAGCAGCCGCGGUAAUACGGAGGGUGCGAGCGUUAAUCGGAAUUACUGGGCGUAAAGCGCGCGUAGGUGGCUUGAUAAGCCGGUUGUGAAAGCCCCGGGCUCAACCUGGGAACGGCAUCCGGAACUGUCAAGCUAGAGUGCAGGAGAGGAAGGUAGAAUUCCCGGUGUAGCGGUGAAAUGCGUAGAGAUCGGGAGGAAUACCAGUGGCGAAGGCGGCCUUCUGGACUGACACUGACACUGAGGUGCGAAAGCGUGGGUAGCAAACAGGAUUAGAUACCGUGGUAGUC